RNAcentral lists this ribosomal RNA (2815 nucleotides) under Staphylococcus aureus. RNAcentral's name for it is "bacterial LSU rRNA". It matches the Rfam family "Bacterial large subunit ribosomal RNA". The record is from RNAcentral. Lineage: Bacteria; Bacillati; Bacillota; Bacilli; Caryophanales; Staphylococcaceae.
AGGGCGCACGGUGGAUGCCUUGGCACUAGAAGCCGAUGAAGGACGUUACUAACGACGAUAUGCUUUGGGGAGCUGUAAGUAAGCUUUGAUCCAGAGAUUUCCGAAUGGGGAAACCCAGCAUGAGUUAUGUCAUGUUAUCGAUAUGUGAAUACAUAGCAUAUCAGAAGGCACACCCGGAGAACUGAAACAUCUUAGUACCCGGAGGAAGAGAAAGAAAAUUCGAUUCCCUUAGUAGCGGCGAGCGAAACGGGAAGAGCCCAAACCAACAAGCUUGCUUGUUGGGGUUGUAGGACACUCUAUACGGAGUUACAAAGGACGACAUUAGACGAAUCAUCUGGAAAGAUGAAUCAAAGAAGGUAAUAAUCCUGUAGUCGAAAAUGUUGUCUCUCUUGAGUGGAUCCUGAGUACGACGGAGCACGUGAAAUUCCGUCGGAAUCUGGGAGGACCAUCUCCUAAGGCUAAAUACUCUCUAGUGACCGAUAGUGAACCAGUACCGUGAGGGAAAGGUGAAAAGCACCCCGGAAGGGGAGUGAAAUAGAACCUGAAACCGUGUGCUUACAAGUAGUCAGAGCCCGUUAAUGGGUGAUGGCGUGCCUUUUGUAGAAUGAACCGGCGAGUUACGAUUUGAUGCAAGGUUAAGCAGUAAAUGUGGAGCCGUAGCGAAAGCGAGUCUGAAUAGGGCGUUUAGUAUUUGGUCGUAGACCCGAAACCAGGUGAUCUACCCUUGGUCAGGUUGAAGUUCAGGUAACACUGAAUGGAGGACCGAACCGACUUACGUUGAAAAGUGAGCGGAUGAACUGAGGGUAGCGGAGAAAUUCCAAUCGAACCUGGAGAUAGCUGGUUCUCUCCGAAAUAGCUUUAGGGCUAGCCUCAAGUGAUGAUUAUUGGAGGUAGAGCACUGUUUGGACGAGGGGCCCCUCUCGGGUUACCGAAUUCAGACAAACUCCGAAUGCCAAUUAAUUUAACUUGGGAGUCAGAACAUGGGUGAUAAGGUCCGUGUUCGAAAGGGAAACAGCCCAGACCACCAGCUAAGGUCCCAAAAUAUAUGUUAAGUGGAAAAGGAUGUGGCGUUGCCCAGACAACUAGGAUGUUGGCUUAGAAGCAGCCAUCAUUUAAAGAGUGCGUAAUAGCUCACUAGUCGAGUGACACUGCGCCGAAAAUGUACCGGGGCUAAACAUAUUACCGAAGCUGUGGAUUGUCCUUUGGACAAUGGUAGGAGAGCGUUCUAAGGGCGUUGAAGCAUGAUCGUAAGGACAUGUGGAGCGCUUAGAAGUGAGAAUGCCGGUGUGAGUAGCGAAAGACGGGUGAGAAUCCCGUCCACCGAUUGACUAAGGUUUCCAGAGGAAGGCUCGUCCGCUCUGGGUUAGUCGGGUCCUAAGCUGAGGCCGACAGGCGUAGGCGAUGGAUAACAGGUUGAUAUUCCUGUACCACCUAUAAUCGUUUUAAUCGAUGGGGGGACGCAGUAGGAUAGGCGAAGCGUGCGAUUGGAUUGCACGUCUAAGCAGUAAGGCUGAGUAUUAGGCAAAUCCGGUACUCGUUAAGGCUGAGCUGUGAUGGGGAGAAGACAUUGAGUCUUCGAGUCGUUGAUUUCACACUGCCGAGAAAAGCCUCUAGAUAGAAAAUAGGUGCCCGUACCGCAAACCGACACAGGUAGUCAAGAUGAGAAUUCUAAGGUGAGCGAGCGAACUCUCGUUAAGGAACUCGGCAAAAUGACCCCGUAACUUCGGGAGAAGGGGUGCUCUUUAGGGUUAACGCCCAGAAGAGCCGCAGUGAAUAGGCCCAAGCGACUGUUUAUCAAAAACACAGGUCUCUGCUAAACCGUAAGGUGAUGUAUAGGGGCUGACGCCUGCCCGGUGCUGGAAGGUUAAGAGGAGUGGUUAGCUUCUGCGAAGCUACGAAUCGAAGCCCCAGUAAACGGCGGCCGUAACUAUAACGGUCCUAAGGUAGCGAAAUUCCUUGUCGGGUAAGUUCCGACCCGCACGAAAGGCGUAACGAUUUGGGCACUGUCUCAACGAGAGACUCGGUGAAAUCAUAGUACCUGUGAAGAUGCAGGUUACCCGCGACAGGACGGAAAGACCCCGUGGAGCUUUACUGUAGCCUGAUAUUGAAAUUCGGCACAGCUUGUACAGGAUAGGUAGGAGCCUUUGAAACGUGAGCGCUAGCUUACGUGGAGGCGCUGGUGGGAUACUACCCUAGCUGUGUUGGCUUUCUAACCCGCACCACUUAUCGUGGUGGGAGACAGUGUCAAGCGGGCAGUUUGACUGGGGCGGUCGCCUCCUAAAAGGUAACGGAGGCGCUCAAAGGUUCCCUCAGAAUGGUUGGAAAUCAUUCAUAGAGUGUAAAGGCAUAAGGGAGCUUGACUGCGAGACCUACAAGUCGAGCAGGGUCGAAAGACGGACUUAGUGAUCCGGUGGUUCCGCAUGGAAGGGCCAUCGCUCAACGGAUAAAAGCUACCCCGGGGAUAACAGGCUUAUCUCCCCCAAGAGUUCACAUCGACGGGGAGGUUUGGCACCUCGAUGUCGGCUCAUCGCAUCCUGGGGCUGUAGUCGGUCCCAAGGGUUGGGCUGUUCGCCCAUUAAAGCGGUACGCGAGCUGGGUUCAGAACGUCGUGAGACAGUUCGGUCCCUAUCCGUCGUGGGCGUAGGAAAUUUGAGAGGAGCUGUCCUUAGUACGAGAGGACCGGGAUGGACAUACCUCUGGUGUACCAGUUGUCGUGCCAACGGCAUAGCUGGGUAGCUAUGUGUGGACGGGAUAAGUGCUGAAAGCAUCUAAGCAUGAAGCCCCCCUCAAGAUGAGAUUUCCCAACUUCGGUUAU